Molecule: ribosomal RNA, 253 nt
Filed under: uncultured bacterium
Lineage: Bacteria
Description: partial 16S ribosomal RNA
Rfam family: Bacterial small subunit ribosomal RNA
Source: RNAcentral
GACAGAGGUGCCAAGCGUUAGGCGGAAUCACUGGGCUUAAAGCGUGUGUAGGCGGUAUGGUAAGUACCUUGUGAAAUCCCACGGCUCAACCGUGGAACUGCUCGGUAUACUGCUUUUCUUGAGCCACUUAGGGGCUGUCGGAACAAACGGUGGAGCGGUGAAAUGCGUAGAUAUCAGGAAGAACACCGGUGGCGAAGGCGGCUCGCUGGGCCAGUUCUGACACUCAUCCGCGAAAGCGUGGGGAGCAAACAGG